RNAcentral lists this ribosomal RNA (218 nucleotides) under uncultured bacterium. RNAcentral's name for it is "partial 16S ribosomal RNA". It matches the Rfam family "Bacterial small subunit ribosomal RNA", at positions 524 to 743 of the family's 1533-position model. The record is from RNAcentral.
UACGUAGGGUGCAAGCGUUAAUCAGAAUUACUGGGCGUAAAGCGUGCGCAGGCGGUCUGUUAAGACCGAUGUGAAAUCCCCGGGCUUAACCUGGGAACUGCAUUGGUGACUGGCAGGCUUUGAGUGUGGCAGAGGGAGGUAGAAUUCCACGUGUAGCAGUGAAAUGCGUAGAGAUGUGGAGGAAUACCGAUGGCGAAGGCAGCCCUGCCAGUGGUCGA